GGGCCGGUGGGGUAGCUUGGUAACCUUCAGCGUUUGGGACGCUGUACCCCCGGUUCAAAUCCGGGCCGGCCCA
Molecule: transfer RNA, 73 nt
Filed under: Haloarchaeobius litoreus
Lineage: Archaea; Methanobacteriati; Methanobacteriota; Halobacteria; Halobacteriales; Halorubellaceae
Also listed under: 1 other name
Description: tRNA-Pro
Rfam family: tRNA
About the family: Transfer RNA (tRNA) molecules are approximately 80 nucleotides in length. Their secondary structure includes four short double-helical elements and three loops (D, anti-codon, and T loops).
Source: RNAcentral